This 485-nucleotide ribosomal RNA is filed under the name uncultured bacterium. RNAcentral describes it as "bacterial SSU rRNA". It matches the Rfam family "Bacterial small subunit ribosomal RNA", at positions 28 to 500 of the family's 1533-position model. The record is from RNAcentral.
GACGAACGCUGGCGGCGUGCCUAAUACAUGCAAGUCGAGCGAACAGAGAAGGAGCUUGCUCCUUCGACGUUAGCGGCGGACGGGUGAGUAACACGUGGGCAACCUACCCUAUAGUUUGGGAUAACUCCGGGAAACCGGGGCUAAUACCGAAUAAUUUGUUUCACCUCAUGGUGAAACACUGAAAGACGGUUUCGGCUGUCGCUAUAGGAUGGGCCCGCGGCGCAUUAGCUAGUUGGUGAGGUAACGGCUCACCAAGGCGACGAUGCGUAGCCGACCUGAGAGGGUGAUCGGCCACACUGGGACUGAGACACGGCCCAGACUCCUACGGGAGGCAGCAGUAGGGAAUCUUCCACAAUGGGCGAAAGCCUGAUGGAGCAACGCCGCGUGAGUGAAGAAGGAUUUCGGUUCGUAAAACUCUGUUGUAAGGAAGAACAAGUNCAGUAGUAACUGCUGUACCUUGACGUACCUUAUAGAAAGCACGCUAC